CAAGAGGGGCGGACAAUCGCUGGCUUGAACAUUGUUGAUAGCGGGAGGAAAGUCCGGACUUCAUAGGAACAAGAUGACGGCUAACGGCCGCCCGGGGCAACCCGAGGGACAGUGCCACAGAAAAUAAACCGCCCUGCUUUGUUCAGGGUAAGGAUGAAACGGCGAGGUAAGAGCUCACCGCUUGACCGGCAACGGUUCAAGGCAUGGUAAACCCCAUCUGAAGCAAGACCAAGAAAAUGGCUGCAAUUCAAUUUGCAAGGUAUUGUUCCUAUACCGCCUGAUAGGUAGGUCGCCAGAAAGUUAUAGUAAUAUAGCUUCUAGAUGAAUGAUUGUCCUUUGACAAAAUCCGGCUUACAACCCCUCUUAUUUU
This 370-nucleotide RNase P RNA is filed under the name Alphaproteobacteria bacterium. Its description in RNAcentral is "RNase P RNA component class A". It matches the Rfam family "Bacterial RNase P class A". Rfam says of the family: Ribonuclease P (RNase P) is a ubiquitous endoribonuclease, found in archaea, bacteria and eukarya as well as chloroplasts and mitochondria. Its best characterised activity is the generation of mature 5'-ends of tRNAs by cleaving the 5'-leader elements of precursor-tRNAs. Lineage: Bacteria; Pseudomonadati; Pseudomonadota; Alphaproteobacteria. The record is from RNAcentral.